CCUACGGGGGGCAGCAGUCGAGAAUCAUUCACAAUGGGGGAAACCCUGAUGGUGCGACGCCGCGUGGGGGAAUGAAGGUCUUCGGAUUGUAAACCCCUGUCAUGUGGGAGCAAAUUAAAAAGAUAGUACCACAAGAGGAAGAUACGUCUAACUCUGUGCCAGCAGCCGCGGUAAUACAGAGGUCUCAAGCGUUGUUCGGAAUCACUGGGCGUAAGGCGUGCGUAGGCUGUUUCGUAAGUCGGGUGUGAAAGGCGCGGGCUCAACCCGCGGACGGCACAUGAUACUGCGAGACUAGAGUAAUGGAGGGGGAACCGGAAUUCUCGGUGUAGCAGUGAAAUGCGUAGAUAUCGAGAGGAACACUCGUGGCGAAGGCGGGUUCCUGGACAUUAACUGACGCUGAGGCACGAAGGCCAGGGGAGCGAAAGGGAUUAGAUACCCUUGUAGUC
This 446-nucleotide ribosomal RNA is filed under the name uncultured bacterium. RNAcentral's name for it is "partial 16S ribosomal RNA". It matches the Rfam family "Bacterial small subunit ribosomal RNA", at positions 338 to 795 of the family's 1533-position model. The record is from RNAcentral.